GACGAACGCUGGCGGCGUGCUUAACACAUGCAAGUCGAACGAUGAAGCCUAGCUUGCUAGGUGGAUUAGUGGCGAACGGGUGAGUAAUACGUGAGUAACCUACCUUUAACUCUGGGAUAAGCCCGGGAAACUGGGUCUAAUACCGGAUACGACCAAUCUCCGCAUGGGGUGUUGGUGGAAAGCGUUAUGUAGUGGUUAUAGAUGGGCUCACGGCCUAUCAGCUUGUUGGUGAGGUAACGGCUCACCAAGGCGACGACGGGUAGCCGGCCUGAGAGGGUGACCGGCCACACUGGGACUGAGACACGGCCCAGACUCCUACGGGAGGCAGCAGUGGGGAAUAUUGCACAAUGGGCGCAAGCCUGAUGCAGCGACGCCGCGUGAGGGAUGACGGCCUUCGGGUUGUAAACCUCUGUUAGCAGGGAAGAAGAGAGAUUGACGGUACCUGCAGAGAAAGCGCCGGCUAACUACGUGCCAGCAGCCGCGGUAAUACGUAGGGCGCGAGCGUUGUCCGGAAUUAUUGGGCGUAAAGAGCUUGUAGGCGGUUUGUCGCGUCUGCUGUGAAGGCCGGGGCUUAACUCCGUGUAUUGCAGUGGGUACGGGCAGACUAGAGUGCAGUAGGGGAGACUGGAAUUCCUGGUGUAGCGGUGGAAUGCGCAGAUAUCAGGAGGAACACCGAUGGCGAAGGCAGGUCUCUGGGCUGUAACUGACGCUGAGAAGCGAAAGCAUGGGGAGCGAACAGGAUUAGAUACCCUGGUAGUCCAUGCCGUAAACGUUGGGCACUAGGUGUGGGGAACAUUCCACGUUUUCCGCGCCGUAGCUAACGCAUUAAGUGCCCCGCCUGGGGAGUACGGCCGCAAGGCUAAAACUCAAAGAAAUUGACGGGGGCCCGCACAAGCGGCGGAGCAUGCGGAUUAAUUCGAUGCAACGCGAAGAACCUUACCAAGGCUUGACAUAUACUGGACCGCAUCAGAGAUGGUGUUUCCCUUCGGGGCUGGUAUACAGGUGGUGCAUGGUUGUCGUCAGCUCGUGUCGUGAGAUGUUGGGUUAAGUCCUGCAACGAGCGCAACCCUCGUUCUAUGUUGCCAGCACGUAAUGGUGGGGACUCAUAGGAGACUGCCGGGGUCAACUCGGAGGAAGGUGGGGAUGACGUCAAAUCAUCAUGCCCCUUAUGUCUUGGGCUUCACGCAUGCUACAAUGGCCGGUACAGAGGGUUGCGAUACUGUGAGGUGGAGCUAAUCCCUAAAAGCCGGUCUCAGUUCGGAUUGGGGUCUGCAACUCGACCCCAUGAAGUCGGAGUCGCUAGUAAUCGCAGAUCAGCAACGCUGCGGUGAAUACGUUCCCGGGCCU
This 1347-nucleotide ribosomal RNA is filed under the name uncultured bacterium. RNAcentral's name for it is "bacterial SSU rRNA". It matches the Rfam family "Bacterial small subunit ribosomal RNA", at positions 28 to 1381 of the family's 1533-position model. The record is from RNAcentral.